GGCUCGUUGGUCUAGGGAUAUGAUUCUCGCUCCGGGUGUGAGAAGUCCCGGGUUCAAAUCCCGGACGAGCCC
This is a non-coding RNA of Danio rerio (zebrafish), 72 nucleotides long. Lineage: Eukaryota; Metazoa; Chordata; Actinopteri; Cypriniformes; Danionidae. The record is from Rfam.